This 1474-nucleotide ribosomal RNA is filed under the name uncultured Bordetella sp. Its description in RNAcentral is "partial 16S-23S ribosomal RNA intergenic spacer". It matches the Rfam family "Bacterial small subunit ribosomal RNA". Lineage: Bacteria; Pseudomonadati; Pseudomonadota; Betaproteobacteria; Burkholderiales; Alcaligenaceae. The record is from RNAcentral.
GGUUUGAUCAUGGCUCAGAUUGAACGCUGGCGGGAUGCUUUACACAUGCAAGUCGAACGGCAGCACGGACUUCGGUCUGGUGGCGAGUGGCGAACGGGUGAGUAAUGUAUCGGAACGUGCCUAGUAUGGGGAUAACUACGCGAAAGCGUAGCUAAUACCGCAUACGCCCUUCGGGGGAAAGCGGGGGACCUUUCGGGCCUCGCACUAUUAGAGCGGCCGAUAUCGGAUUAGCUAGUUGCGGGGUAACGGCUCACCAAGGCGACGAUCCGUAGCUGGUUUGAGAGGACGACCAGCCACACUGGGACUGAGACACGGCCCAGACUCCUACGGGAGGCAGCAGUGGGGGAAUUUGGACAAUGGGGGGAAACCCUGAUCCAGCCAUCCCGCGUGUGCGAUGAAGGCCUUCGGGUUGUAAAGCACUUUUGGCAGGAAAGAAACGCGCGGAUAAUACCCCGUGCAACUGACGGUACCUGCAGAAUAAGCACCGGCUAACUACGCCAGCAGCCGCGGUAAUACGUGGGUAGGUGCAAGCGUUAAUCUAACCACGGGCGUAAAAGCGGGCGCAGGCGGUUCGGAAAGAAAGAUGUGAAUCCCCAGAGCUUUAACUUUGGAACUGCAUUUUUAACCACCGAGCUAGAGUGUGUCAGAGUGGAGGUGGAAUUCGCGUGUAGCAGCGGAAUGCGUGAUACAAAAGAGGAAACUACCGAUGGCGAAGGCAGCCUCCUGGGAUAACACUGACGCUCAUGCACGGAAAGCGUGGGGAGCAAACAGGAUUAGAUACCCUGGUAGUCCACGCCCUAAACGAUGUCAAUUAGCUGUUGGGGCCUUCGGGCCUUGGUAGCGCAGCUAACGCGUGAAGUUGACCGCCUGGGGAGUACGGUCGCAAGAUUAAAACCUCAAAGGAAUUUAUCGGGACCCGCACAAAAGCGGUGGAUGAUGUGGAUUAAUUCAAUGCAACGCGAAAAACUCCACUUACCCUUGACAUGUUCGAAUCCCGAAGAGAUUUGGGAAAGCCUGCAGAGAACCGGAACACAGGUGCUGCAUGGCUGUCGUCAGCUCGUCAUGAUACAAGGUUGGAGUCCCGCAACGAGCGGCAACCCGUCAUUAGUUACGAGCGGCACCUUGGCGAGAUCGCCGGUGACAAACCGGAGGAAGGUGGGGAUGACGUCAAGUCCUCAUGGCCCUGGCGUGGUAGGGCUUCACACCGUCAUACAAUGGUCGGGACAGAGGGUCGCCAACCCGCGAGGGGGAGUCAAUCCCAGAAACCCGAUCGUAGUCCGGAUCGCAGUCUGCAACUCGACUGCGUGAAGUCGGAAUCGCUAGUAAUCGCGGACCAGCUAUGUCGUGGUGAAUACGUUCCUGGUCUUCGUACACACCGCCCGUCACACCAUGGGAGUGGGUUUUACCAGAAGUAGUUAGCUCAACCGCAAGACACGGUAGGAUUCAUGACUGGGGGUGAAGUCGCAACAAGGUA